This 1473-nucleotide ribosomal RNA is filed under the name Lutjanus ophuysenii (spotstripe snapper). Its description in RNAcentral is "eukaryotic LSU rRNA". The stretch from base 812 to 965 matches the Rfam family "5.8S ribosomal RNA". Lineage: Eukaryota; Metazoa; Chordata; Actinopteri; Lutjaniformes; Lutjanidae. The record is from RNAcentral.
ACAAAGCUUCCGUGGGUGAACCUGCGGAAGGAUCAUUACCGGUUGCCCCCGGGGAAGCCUGCCGCAUGUCUUACCGCGGGGCAGGGCUCAUCUCAACAGGGGACCGAAAGCCAAAAAACCCAGAGCCGAGGGUCUUCCGCCCCAAGGAUCCGUCUGGCGCGUAGAUGGGUGCGGGGCGAGCUUCGAGUUCUCCCCGGCCUGCCCGGGUUUCACCGUAAGGAGGGUCCAGAGAGGCGCGCGUGAGCCCGAGAUCGUCCUGCCCGUAGGCGCUAUGGGUCUUGCCGCGGGGAGUGGCAUCGGGCCCAGCGACCCUCGCGGGGUGCCGGUUUCCGCCUCGUCCAACACCUUUCUCGUCUGGGCUCCAGAAUCCGCCCGAUAGAGCGGAACGGUCGCCUGCCCCCCCCUCCUCCUUUCCGAACUAGCGCCGCGCCCUAGCUCGGUCCGCUCCGAGGGCUGACAGACUCGCAGUGUCGGACCUCACGGUCACGGAACGGCUGUGCGCUGUGGUCGCUGCUCCCGUGUCAGUUCGCUCCCGUCCGGGACCGUAACCUCGGAACCUUUACCUCUAGCGCGGUUGAGGCGGCUUCGCACUGGUCGCAUUCCGCGCGCCUCCGGGUACCCAACGCUUCUCACGCCUACGGGGUAAGUAGAGUGGUUCAAUGUCUCCUACGUCAGUCUGUACCUCCUCCGCUACCGGUGGGUGUCUUAGCGGGAUGGAGCGCCCGGGGGUUACCUGUCGAACCCUUGUCGAAAACCCCUGUCGUCUCCGAACUUGCGGCCUUGACAAACAAAACAAAACAAAAACUUUGACAACUCUUAGCGGUGGAUCACUCGGCUCGUGCGUCGAUGAAGAACGCAGCAAGCUGCGAGAAGUAAUGUGAAUUGCAGGACACAUUGAUCAUCGAGACUUCGAACGCACCUUGCGGCCCCGGGUUGCUCCCGGGGCUACGCCUGUCUGAGGGUCGCUUUGACAUCAAUCGGAAAGGCAGCUCUCCACGAGCCUUCUCGCGGAUGCGGCCGCCGCAGGCAUCCGUUGCCUUCAUCCCACUAAGCGCUGUCUGCACGGGAGUCACUCGUCGACCUCGGGUGCGGUUCCGGAGUGGAUUGUCUGGCUUCCCGCCCGUUCGUCGUACCUAUUGGGGUACCGUUCCCCUGUUCCUGUGUGUCUUACUCCGAUGAACCUAUAAACACCGGGGGGAUGGGGCGCCUAGUCGGGAUCCGCAUGUGUCGGGCGCGGCUGUCGGUCGACCUACUAUGUAUCUCGAGCUGCCGGCGUUACACGUGCGACCCGGUUUGGAAGGGAUCGCUGCGGCUAGUAGUUCGAGCUUCAGCGGGCGACCUGAGUCUUUGGGCCGUCGUGGAGCAUGAGGAUCCCACCGGCUCGACGCGGCGCACUCCGCCUCCGGAGGCGUAACGGCCCCCCCAGGCCAUCCCGGAGCGCGUGAGCCCCCCCUUCCACUCGUGGGACGGGGG